RNAcentral lists this ribosomal RNA (440 nucleotides) under uncultured bacterium. Its description in RNAcentral is "partial 16S ribosomal RNA". It matches the Rfam family "Bacterial small subunit ribosomal RNA", at positions 338 to 795 of the family's 1533-position model. The record is from RNAcentral.
CCUACGGGGGGCAGCAGUGGGGAAUAUUGCACAAUGGGGGGAACCCUGAUGCAGCGACGCCGCGUGGGUGAAGGAGCACCUCGGUGCGUAAAGCCCUAUCGGCAGGGAAGAAACAGACGGUACCUGACUAAGAAGCCCCGGCUAACUACGUGCCAGCAGCCGCGGUGAUACGUAGGGGGCAAGCGUUAUCCGGAUUCACUGGGUGGAAAGGGAGCGUAGACGGCGACGCAAGUCUGGAGGGAAAGCCGGGGGUCCAACCCGGGGACUGCUCUGGAAACUGCGGCGCUGGAGUGCGGGAGGGGCAGGCGGAAUGCCGGGUGUAGCGGUGAAAUGCGUAGAUAUCAGGAGGAACACCGGCGGCGAAGGCGGCCUGCGGGACCGUGACUGACGUUGAGGCUCGAGAGCGUGGGGAGCAAACAGGAUUAGAUACCCCUGUAGUC